ACAUGUAGAUAUCAUCCCUUUCGUAUAUACUUGGAGAUAAGGUCCAGGAGUUUCUACCAGAUCACCGUAAAUGAUCUGACUAUGAAGGUGGAAUGGCUCGAU
Molecule: non-coding RNA, 102 nt
Filed under: Halalkalibacterium halodurans
Lineage: Bacteria; Bacillati; Bacillota; Bacilli; Caryophanales; Bacillaceae
Also listed under: 1 other name
Description: Bacillus halodurans Guanine sequence
Rfam family: Purine riboswitch aptamer
About the family: Riboswitches are metabolite binding domains within certain messenger RNAs that serve as precision sensors for their corresponding targets. Allosteric rearrangement of mRNA structure is mediated by ligand binding, and this results in modulation of gene expression. A class of riboswitches that selectively recognises guanine and becomes saturated at concentrations as low as 5 nM.
Source: RNAcentral